Molecule: ribosomal RNA, 468 nt
Filed under: uncultured bacterium
Lineage: Bacteria
Description: partial 16S ribosomal RNA
Rfam family: Bacterial small subunit ribosomal RNA
Source: RNAcentral
GACGAACGCUGGCGGCGUGCUUAACACAUGCAAGUCGAACGGAAAGGCCCUGCUUUUGUGGGGUGCUCGAGUGGCGAACGGGUGAGUAACACGUGAGUAACCUGCACUUGACUGUGGGAUAACUUCAGGCAACUGGGGCUAAUACCGGCUAGGAGCUCCUGCUGCAUGGUGGGGGCUGGAUAGUUUCGGCGGUUGGGGAUGGACUAGCGGAUUAUCAGCUUGUUGGUGGGGUAGUGGCUUACCAAGGCUUUGACGGGUGGCCGGCCUGAGCGGAUGACCGGCCACAUUGGGACUGAGAUACGGCCCAGACUCCUACGGGAGGCAGCAGUGGGGAAUAUAGCACAGGAGGCUGAGGCCUGAUGCAGCACAGCCGCGUGCGGGGAGACGGCCUGCGGGUAGGAAUCCGCUGUCGUCUUACACGAGACGUGAGUGACGGUAAUGGGUAAAGAAGCACCGGCUAACUACGUG